RNAcentral lists this ribosomal RNA (253 nucleotides) under uncultured bacterium. RNAcentral describes it as "partial 16S ribosomal RNA". It matches the Rfam family "Bacterial small subunit ribosomal RNA", at positions 524 to 776 of the family's 1533-position model. The record is from RNAcentral.
UACGUAGGGGGCAAGCGUUGUCCGGAAUCAUUGGGCGUAAAGCGCGUGUAGGCGGCCCGAUAAGUCCGCUGUGAAAGUCCAGGGCUCAACCCUGGAAUGCCGGUGGAUACUGUCGGGCUCGAGUCCGGAAGAGGCGAGUGGAAUUCCUGGUGUAGCGGUGAAAUGCGUAGAUAUCGGGAGGAACACCAGUGGCGAAGGCGGCUUCCUGGCCUGUUCUUGACGCUGAGGCGCGAAAGCUAGGGUAGCAAACGGG